UACGGGGGGGGCAAGCGUUGUUCGGAAUUACUGGGCGUAAAGGGUUCGUAGGUGGCCAACUAAGUCAGACGUGAAAUCCCUCAGCUUAACUGGGGAACUGCGUGUGAUACUGGAUGGCUUGGAUUUGGGAGAGGGAUGCGGAAUUCCAGGUGUAGCGGUGAAAUGCGUAGAUAUCUGGAGGAACACCGGUGGCGAAGGCGGCAUCCUGGACCAAUAUUGACGCUGAGGAGCGAAAGCUAGGGGAGCAAACGGG
RNAcentral lists this ribosomal RNA (253 nucleotides) under uncultured bacterium. RNAcentral describes it as "partial 16S ribosomal RNA". It matches the Rfam family "Bacterial small subunit ribosomal RNA", at positions 524 to 776 of the family's 1533-position model. The record is from RNAcentral.